GUCAUAGCGACUUUUGGGAUAGUUUGCUAUGGACAAAGGGGGACAAAGUUAAGGGGUGAGGGGGGAAGGAGGGCCCAGUAGAGCCUCCACGACCCUCGGCUUUCUCCUCACCAGCUUCCCCUCCCCCCAAGUCCUGUAAGAAGUUGGGCCAAGCUGGAAGGGAUUGAACGGCCGCCUCCUCUCCCUCGCCGGCCUCUGCGGAGAUUCCAGGCCCUCCAGAGACCAGGACGUCCCUCAGAGCCACCGCCCCUCGUGCCAAUGCUGCCGGGAAACUGCCGAUACCCAAACCGGGCAAGAGAACCGCGCGAGGGCAACUGGGGGAGGCCGGAACGAGGGAGGAAUGGGGGGAGGGGGAGGGGGCGCAAACCCACAGGGGCCGUAACAACCGGCUUCUGCCGGCGCCCUGACACCUAGACACCCCCAUCCUCUUUAGCAACCCCCUCGCUUGAGCCUCUCCUCCCAGCUUAAAAAGGCGACUUAGAGCUCGCCUCCGUGGCCCCUUUCGGUUCCUCCUCCCAUUUUUCUUGCCUUGGCUCCCCCUCCAGGAAGCAGCCACCCUUCUCUCAGCCACCGAAUUUCCUGGGAAGCCUCUCCCUGCAGCACCCAGAGGUGGGGUUCAGCCCCGUCUUGGACUGGGGGAGGAGGAAGACAAACCCAAGCCCCACCCCCUACAAAAUCGAGGCGAAAGAAUGAGAAUUGUAGAAUCUCCCUUACCUUUGCAGAUCUUAAGGUUUCUUUCCUCCGAUUGAAAGGGGUGGGGAGGAAGGGGGGAAAAAAAAAGAGCGUUCGGUUUCUUCUUCAUCCUCCAGAUAAUAUUGUCCCAACCUGAGAGCCGUCGCUUCCCCUUCUCUGACUUGGAAGAGAGGGUGUUUCGCUUUUCUGAUAUUUGCAUAGAAAAUGGAGUAAGUUCUGGCUUUGAAAAAUGGUAUCAGGCUGCGAUCCUGGGCAGAUUGUCCAUUUACCCUUCAUGAUGACUAAAACCUCAGAUCAGCAAGCAAAUUAACUUAGGAAUUAAAAUUAUUUUUGGUUCUCCCUUUUGUGUAAUUCCCACCCCUCCUUCCCCCUCUCUUCUUUCCUCUCUCCCUCUCUUCCUCUCUCUCUUUUGCUUUAUCGAGCUGAUACUGAAGUAUAAAAAUAUCAAGAGGCUGGAGCCCUAAAGGACGACAGUGCUCCGACCUAGGUGUGGUGUCCAAAAGAAUGCUGCAUUAUAACCACCAGGGAAAUGAUAAAAAGUUCAUGUUCACGAUCGCCCGGCCACAUGACCGGCGCCGGCCAAUCGCUGGAUUCAACCACUCAUAAACUUCUAUCACAAAGUUGUAAAUUUUCAUAAAACAACAAGGAAUUUAUUGCAUUUCUUCAUGGCUGCUCCACCAGCAACCCUUUUCUCAGUCGCCAUCUUCUUUUCUUCUCCUUCUCGCUUUUUGGGGAAACCUCAAUCUGAGAAGUGGUGAGAUUUCGGGUGCAGGAAAUCAGGCGCAGGAGCCACAAGGGUUCAGCUAGGAAAGGGGGUUCUUUUGCGAACCUCCCUAUUCUCACUGGCGCUCUGUCCCUUCUUCUAGUAAAAAUUCACACUAAACCCUCCGCACUAGUACCAUUCUAAGCCAAUUUGGGGGUGAGUCGGCAGCAGCAGCUGGUGUCCAGAGUUGCCACUUGCAUCAAGACAAAAUGAAAGCUUCAGUGCUCCCUCUUUUCCUCUGAACUCCCCCCCUAUUCCCA
This is a long non-coding RNA of Hipposideros armiger (great roundleaf bat), 1716 nucleotides long. RefSeq lists it as uncharacterized. The record is from RefSeq and is a predicted model, not a curated record. The transcript is spliced from 2 exons. NCBI's taxonomy places the organism in Eukaryota, Metazoa, Chordata, Mammalia, Chiroptera, Hipposideridae.